Molecule: long non-coding RNA, 535 nt
Filed under: Astyanax mexicanus (Mexican tetra)
Lineage: Eukaryota; Metazoa; Chordata; Actinopteri; Characiformes; Acestrorhamphidae
Description: lncRNA (ENSAMXG00005012012.1)
Source: RNAcentral
GUUGUUUGUUAAGCUAGUUAACCUAAAGCUAACCAGCCAACAUCUCUGACCUGCAGAGAAAGGUCUAAAUUGCCAUUAUCUGAUAAAGUCCAUCAUCUCAUCAGUGCUCAUCUUUACACGCUCAGCAUCUCCAGAGCAGGCAACUGUCACCAUGGAGACACCGCCAUUCUUUUGCUCAUGUGAGGAGAUUAAAAGUGCUCUGCCCAUUACUGACUGGUACAAGCCCUGAGACUUGAAUGGAUGGACAGCCAUUAUGAGAAGAAGAAGAUACCUUUUUCAUUUAGACCAGCUUUUUCUUCAAGGCUGCUGCAAGAACAGAAGCUCACCUUUCCCACAGAAAAACCCUUGGAUUAUGACCAGGAACAACAGAGAGCAGGCCCAGUCUUCCUGUAUCUACUCUUCAUUACCCAGCCACAACACCAAGCUUAGAGAGGGCUGCUUGUCAAGGCCCUGUCUCUGCCCAUCAGCCUGCGCUCAUACUAUCCAUCUCUAUCUGAAGGGCAUUGGCCGUGACUGAUUUGCACCAGGAUCCGCU